AUUGAACGCUAGCGGGAUGCCUUACACAUGCAAGUCGAACGGCAGCACGGACUUCGGUCUGGUGGCGAGUGGCGAACGGGUGAGUAAUGUAUCGGAACGUGCCCAGUAGCGGGGGAUAACUACGCGAAAGCGUAGCUAAUACCGCAUACGCCCUUAGGGGGAAAGCAGGGGAUCGCAAGACCUUGCACUAUUGGAGCGGCCGAUAUCGGAUUAGCUAGUUGGUGAGGUAAUGGCUCACCAAGGCCGCGAUCCGUAGCUGGUUUGAGAGGACGACCAGCCACACUGGGACUGAGACACGGCCCAGACUCCGACGGGAGGCAGCAGUGGGGAAUUUUGGACAAUGGGGGAAACCCUGAUCCAGCCAUCCCGCGUGUGCGAUGAAGGCCUUCGGGUUGUAAAGCACUUUUGGCAGGAAAGAAACGGCGCGUGCUAAUACCAUGCGCAACUGACGGUACCUGCAGAAUAAGCACCGGCUAACUACGUGCCAGCAGCCGCCGUAA
This 500-nucleotide ribosomal RNA is filed under the name uncultured bacterium. RNAcentral describes it as "partial 16S ribosomal RNA". It matches the Rfam family "Bacterial small subunit ribosomal RNA", at positions 30 to 523 of the family's 1533-position model. The record is from RNAcentral.